UCAAGAGGAUGCUAAUACUGAGGAACCCCAUCACCAUUCUGCUACAGAAACAAGCACAAGGAGAUCAAAGCGGCACAGGAUCACAGAAACAAGAACAAGGAGAUCAAAGCGGCACAGGGUCACAG
Molecule: long non-coding RNA, 125 nt
Organism: Hibiscus syriacus
Lineage: Eukaryota; Viridiplantae; Streptophyta; Magnoliopsida; Malvales; Malvaceae
Exons: 2
Source: RefSeq, a predicted model, not a curated record